UGGGGAAUAUUGCGCAAUGGGCGAAAGCCUGACGCAGCAACGCCGCGUGGGGGAUGAAGGCUCUCGGGUUGUAAACCCCUUUCAGCAGGGACGAUUGUGACGGUACCUGCAGAAGAAGGACCGGCCAACUACGUG
Molecule: ribosomal RNA, 135 nt
Filed under: uncultured bacterium
Lineage: Bacteria
Description: partial 16S ribosomal RNA
Rfam family: Bacterial small subunit ribosomal RNA
Source: RNAcentral